RNAcentral lists this ribosomal RNA (1654 nucleotides) under Escherichia coli. RNAcentral's name for it is "bacterial LSU rRNA". It matches the Rfam family "Bacterial large subunit ribosomal RNA", at positions 1442 to 2911 of the family's 2925-position model. Lineage: Bacteria; Pseudomonadati; Pseudomonadota; Gammaproteobacteria; Enterobacterales; Enterobacteriaceae. The record is from RNAcentral.
CUUCGCUGGUAGUAGUCAAGCGAAGGGGUGACGCAGGAAGGUAGCCGUACCAGUCAGUGGUAACACUGGGGCAAGCCGGUAGGGAGAGCGAUAGGCAAAUCCGUCGCUCACUAAUCCUGAGAGGUGACGCAUAGCCGGUUGAGGCGAAUUCGGUGAUCCUCUGCUGCCAAGAAAAGCCUCUAGCGAGCACACACACGGCCCGUACCCCAAACCGACACAGGUGGUCAGGUAGAGCAUACCAAGGCGUACGAGAUAACUAUGGUUAAGGAACUCGGCAAAAUGCCCCCGUAACUUCGGGAGAAGGGGGACCGGAAUAUCGUGAACACCCUUGCGGUGGGAGCGGGAUCCGGUCGCAGAAACCAGUGAGGAGCGACUGUUUACUAAAAACACAGGUCCGUGCGAAGUCGCAAGACGAUGUAUACGGACUGACGCCUGCCCGGUGCUGGAAGGUUAAGAGGACCCGUUAACCCGCAAGGGUGAAGCGGAGAAUUUAAGCCCCAGUAAACGGCGGUGGUAACUAUAACCAUCCUAAGGUAGCGAAAUUCCUUGUCGGGUAAGUUCCGACCUGCACGAAUGGCGUAACGACUUCNGACGCCUGCCCGGUGCUGGAAGGUUAAGAGGACCCGUUAACCCGCAAGGGUGAAGCGGAGAAUUUAAGCCCCAGUAAACGGCGGUGGUAACUAUAACCAUCCUAAGGUAGCGAAAUUCCUUGUCGGGUAAGUUCCGACCUGCACGAAUGGCGUAACGACUUCUCAACUGUCUCAACCAUAGACUCGGCGAAAUUGCACUACGAGUAAAGAUGCUCGUUACGCGCGGCAGGACGAAAAGACCCCGGGACCUUCACUACAACUUGGUAUUGAUGUUCGGUACGGUUUGUGUAGGAUAGGUGGGAGACUGUGAAACCUCGACGCCAGUUGGGGCGGAGUCGUUGUUGAAAUACCACUCUGAUCGUAUUGGGCAUCUAACCUCGAACCCUGAAUCGGGUUUAGGGACAGUGCCUGGCGGGUAGUUUAACUGGGGCGGUUGCCUCCUAAAAUGUAACGGAGGCGCCCAAAGGUUCCCUCAACCUGGACGGCAAUCAGGUGGCGAGUGUAAAUGCACAAGGGAGCUUGACUGCGAGACUUACAAGUCAAGCAGGGACGAAAGUCGGGAUUAGUGAUCCGGCACCCCCGAGUGGAAGGGGUGUCGCUCAACGGAUAAAAGGUACCCCGGGGAUAACAGGCUGAUCUUCCCCAAGAGUCCAUAUCGACGGGAUGGUUUGGCACCUCGAUGUCGGCUCGUCGCAUCCUGGGGCUGGAGCAGGUCCCAAGGGUUGGGCUGUUCGCCCAUUAAAGCGGCACGCGAGCUGGGUUUAGAACGUCGUGAGACAGUUCGGUCUCUAUCCGCCGCGCGCGUCAGAAACUUGAGGAAACCUGUCCCUAGUACGAGAGGACCGGGACGGACGAACCUCUGGUGCACCAGUUGUCCCGCCAGGGGCACCGCUGGAUAGCCACGUUCGGUCAGGAUAACCGCUGAAAGCAUCUAAGCGGGAAACCUUCUCCAAGAUCAGGUUUCUCACCCACUUGGUGGGAUAAGGCCCCCCGCAGAACACGGGUUCAAUAGGUCAGACCUGGAAGCUCAGUAAUGGGUGUAGGGAACUGGUGCUAACCGGCCG